GGCCACCAAGGAAUAACAUUUACCUCCAAGAGAGUGCUGCACGUUUCUUUCAACCUAAGCCACUCUCUGGUCCAUGUUACUUCCCUUGUCCAGGUCGUCCAUACAAAGAUCUUGCAUUGCGUCCAUCAUCCAAUCCGUAUACUAUUCCCAAAUAACUAGAUAAACUAACCUUUAUGUUUUCAGGGUCUUGCCGUGGAAGAGUGUAUCUUGGCUAAGCCAGCUCAUCUUGGAACUUCCCCGUUCACAAGCAUGAAACCCAAACU
RNAcentral lists this long non-coding RNA (263 nucleotides) under Brassica napus (rape). RNAcentral's name for it is "long non-coding RNA (BNAP_LNC011498)". Lineage: Eukaryota; Viridiplantae; Streptophyta; Magnoliopsida; Brassicales; Brassicaceae. The record is from RNAcentral.